UUAGUUAAAGCCAAAAUAGAGGCAUUUUAUUGUUAAUAAAAGAAUUGAAUAAAUAUACUCUAACUAAU
This 68-nucleotide transfer RNA is filed under the name Babras sonorivox. RNAcentral's name for it is "tRNA-Asn". The record is from RNAcentral. Lineage: Eukaryota; Metazoa; Arthropoda; Insecta; Hemiptera; Cicadidae.